Molecule: unclassified non-coding RNA, 336 nt
Filed under: soil metagenome
Description: partial contains 5.8S ribosomal RNA, internal transcribed spacer 2, and large subunit ribosomal RNA
Rfam family: 5.8S ribosomal RNA (bases 1-120)
Source: RNAcentral
GAUGAAGAACGUAGCGAAAUGCGAUAAGUAAUGUGAAUUACAGAAUUCAGUGAAUCAUCGAAUCUUUGAACGCACAUUGCGCCCGCCAGUAUUCUGGCGGGCAUGCCUGUUCGAGCGUCAUUUCAACCAUCAAGCCCCAGGCUUGUGUUGGGGACCUGCGGCUGCCGCAGGCCCUGAAAACCAGUGGCGGGCUCGCUGUCACACCGGGCGUAGUAGAUUUUAUCUCGCUCAGGGCGUGCUGCGGGUCCCGGCCGUUAAAAGCCUUUUUUUACCCAAGGUUGACCUCGGAUCAGGUAGGAAGACCCGCUGAACUUAAGCAUAUCAAUAAGCGGAGGA